Molecule: ribosomal RNA, 484 nt
Filed under: uncultured bacterium
Lineage: Bacteria
Description: partial 16S ribosomal RNA
Rfam family: Bacterial small subunit ribosomal RNA
Source: RNAcentral
AUUGAACGCUGGCGGCAGGCCUAACACAUGCAAGUCGAGCGGAUGAAGGGAGCUUGCUCCUGGUUUCAGCGGCGGACGGGUGAGUAAUGCCUAGGAAUCUGCCUGGUAGUGGGGGAUAACGUCCGGAAACGGGCGCUAAUACCGCAUACGCCCUGAGGGAGAAAGUGGGGGAUCUUCGGACCUCACGCUAUCAGAUGAGCCUAGGUCGGAUUAGCUAGUUGGUGGGGUAAAGGCCUACCAAGGCGACGAUCCGUAACUGGUCUGAGAGGAUGAUCAGUCACACUGGAACUGGGACACGCUCCAGACUACUACGAGAAGCAGCAGGCGGGAAUAUUAGACCGUUGGCGAUAGUCUGAUCCAACGGUGCCGCGUGUGUGAAGAAAGUCUUCUGAUUGUGAAGCAGUUUCAGUUGGGAGAAAGUGCAGUAAGUUAUUACCUUGCUGUUUUGACGUUACCAGCAGAAUAAGCACCGGCUAACUUCGUG